Molecule: ribosomal RNA, 253 nt
Filed under: uncultured bacterium
Lineage: Bacteria
Description: partial 16S ribosomal RNA
Rfam family: Bacterial small subunit ribosomal RNA
Source: RNAcentral
UACGUAGGGGGCAAGCGUUAUCCGGAUUUACUGGGUGUAAAGGGAGCGUAGACGGUAGACCAAGUCUGAAGUGAAAGCCCGGGGCUCAACCCCGGAACUGCUUUGGAAACUGGUAAACUAGAGUGCAGGAGAGGUAAGUGGAAUUCCUAGUGUAGCGGUGAAAUGCGUAGAUAUUAGGAGGAACACCAGUGGCGAAGGCGGCUUACUGGACUGUAACUGACGUUGAGGCUCGAAAGCGUGGGGAGCAAACAGG